UGGUACUGCGGAGACAUUACUGAUUUGCUUAAUUGCACCACAUGUGUUUUUUAUUGAACAAAUUUCUUUGGUGGCGGGAGCAAUCCUACCGCCAGAGGUUAUAACUAAACCAAACUUUUUAUUUACAGUCAAACUUGAUUUAUUAUUACAAUAGUCAAAACUUUCAACAACGGAUCUCUUGGUUCUCGCAUCGAUGAAGAACGCAGCGAAAUGCGAUACGUAAUAUGAAUUGCAGAUAUUCGUGAAUCAUCGAAUCUUUGAACGCACAUUGCGCCCUUUGGUAUUCCAAAGGGCAUGCCUGUUUGAGCGUCAUUUCUCCCUCAAACCCCCGGGUUUGGUGUUGAGCAAUACGCUAGGUUUGUUUGAAAGAAUUUAACGUGGAAACUUAUUUUAAGCGACUUAGGUUUAUCCAAAAACGCUUAUUUUGCUAGUGGCCACCACAAUUUAUUUCAUAACUUUGACCUCAAAUCAGGUAGGACUACCCGCUGAACUUAAGCAUAUCAAUGAGCGCGGGGGGAAAA
Molecule: ribosomal RNA, 521 nt
Filed under: Candida tropicalis
Lineage: Eukaryota; Fungi; Ascomycota; Pichiomycetes; Serinales; Debaryomycetaceae
Description: eukaryotic LSU rRNA
Rfam family: 5.8S ribosomal RNA (bases 159-312)
Source: RNAcentral